This 1264-nucleotide long non-coding RNA is filed under the name Trifolium pratense (red clover). RNAcentral's name for it is "long non-coding RNA (TPRA_LNC002393)". The record is from RNAcentral. Lineage: Eukaryota; Viridiplantae; Streptophyta; Magnoliopsida; Fabales; Fabaceae.
UGGGUGUGUAGAAUUUUCUGAGGUUUUAUAGUUUGGAGAAACCAAAUUCUUGAAGUAGAAGUGAGUGGUGGCGUCCUGUUAAAAGAAUAAGGGUUUUUUUUUAAGGAAAAAAAAGGGUUAACAAAGUCAUUAGAUAUUGGGAUCCGGAUUCUCUCCUUCCCCAACUGUCUCCAUCUCUCUCCUUCUCUCAAUCUUGACAGUUCGAUCGAUCUCGUGGUUGAAGUUUUUACCGCUAUUUAGGUGGAGUGACUUAAAAAAAAGGUGGGGUGACUAAAUUUUGUGACAAAUUUGUGGAUACUUAAAAAUAGUUUUUUUUAAAGUAAAAAAAAAAAAAAAUUCAAUUGAUUUUUUUUGUGUAUAAUGAAAUUGAAGAUCGAAUUCAUAAUCUCUAUCAUACUACUCAAAUAAUUACCAAAUCUAGUGGCUUAUCGGUUAAUUGGUCAGUAAUCGAACCCUUAAUCACUUUUAUGGACUCAAAACUCAAGAGGUUGUGUUCCUUGAGUCUCUUUGUAUAGCUACAAGAUCAAUCCUGAUAUUCAAUAUCAUUAUAUUGUGACUAUAUAUAUAUAUACACGAAGAUGAAUUGAAUUAUUCAAGUAUAAAAUGGUCAUGCUAAAUAGUGCACUCGGUGCACUUGUUAAGCAUACCAAAAAAAAAAUAUUCAAAAAAUAACUUUUUAUACUUUUGAGGUAUUGAAUGCACGCAUUUCGAGUCAGAAUUUCUAUUUUUAAUUGCUUAACCAGUGGCGAUUCCAGUAAUAUUAGAGAGCCUAGGCAAAAUUUUGGAGGGAAUUUUAUCAACCAAAUUUCUAGAUACAAUAAUAUUUAAAAGACAAAGUUGUUUCUGCAAUUCAAAAACAUAUUUAAAUNNNNNNNNNNNNNNNNNNNNNNNNNNNNNNNNNNNNNNNNNNAAUGCAGUCAAUAAAUAAGUUUUAAAUCAUAACCGUCUGAUCUUGAUCAGACGGCUGUAGAUGGCCUGAAUGCAUGACUGCACCAAAAAGGUGACUGCACGGAAUCCGGGUCCGUGUGGAACGACGUGAUUUUUCUCAACUGUGAACUGCGUGAAUUUGUUGCUUUUCCUUGGAGAAGCAUUUUGAUACGUUGGAUUGGUUUAACGGUUCAGAUUUUUUUAACUGCGUGUAACUGUGGGAUAUAUGGACAGCAGCAAAUCCAAAUCCAUUUAGGUGGAGUGACUUAAAAAAAAGGUGGGGUGACUAAAUUUUGUGACAAAUUUGUGGAUACAUAAAAAUAGUUUUUUUUAAAGU